CUCGUAGGCGGCCAACUAAGUCAGACGUGAAAUCCCUCGGCUUAACCGGGGAACUGCGUCUGAUACUGGAUGGCUUGAGGUUGGGAGAGGGAUGCGGAAUUCCAGGUGUAGCGGUGAAAUGCGUAGAUAUCUGGAGGAACACCGGUGGCGAAGGCGGCAUCCUGGACCAAUUCUGACGCUGAGGAGCGAAAGCCAGGGGAGCAAACGGGAUUAGAUACCCCGGUAGUCCUGGCCCUAAACGAUGAAUGCUUGGUGUGGCGGGUAUCGAUCCCUGCCGUGCCGAAGCUAACGCAUUAAGCAUUCCGCCUGGGGAGUACGGUCGCAAGGCUGAA
Molecule: ribosomal RNA, 332 nt
Filed under: uncultured bacterium
Lineage: Bacteria
Description: bacterial SSU rRNA
Rfam family: Bacterial small subunit ribosomal RNA
Source: RNAcentral